Molecule: ribosomal RNA, 253 nt
Filed under: uncultured bacterium
Lineage: Bacteria
Description: partial 16S ribosomal RNA
Rfam family: Bacterial small subunit ribosomal RNA
Source: RNAcentral
UACAGGGGGGGCAAGCGUUGUUCGGAAUUACUGGGCGUAAAGGGCGCGUAGGCGGACUGGUAAGUCGGUCGUGAAAUCCUUCGGCUCAACCGAAGAACGUCGAUCGAAACUGCCGUUCUUGAGGAUUGCAGAGGAGACUGGAAUUCCCGGUGUAGCGGUGAAAUGUGUAGAGAUCGGGAGGAACACCGGUGGCGGAGGCGGGUCUCUGGGCAAUUCCUGACGCUGAGGCGCGAAAGCGUGGGGAGCAAACGGG